AAAGAAGAUAGAGGAGGAGUUCGACAAAGAACUCAUAAUGUUGAUCAAUCUCAGCAGCAGCAGCAGUAGCUUGCUUCUCAGAUUUCACAAACCAAAAAAGGUGGUUUCUUGGAAAAUUAUAGGAAAGAGAUCGGCUUUACCUUAACAUUAUCAUUUUCCUAUCUUUUAUAUUAUAUUGCUUCCCCGACUUUAAAGGUCCAAUAAUAGGAGCCUUCGUCACUAUUGCAAUAGGUGCGUUGAGUGGAUUGGUUAAUCAUUGCUUGAAAUCUAAUGUUCCUGGUUCUGCUGAUAUCAAAAUUGAGCCUUUAACAACAUUGACUCAAUCGACAUAAUUUCAUGAAAGGAACAAUAACUAUUAAUUUACAUUUUACUUGUAAUACCCUAAACUAGGAGUGUGACUUGUUUGUUUAAAAAAACUAAUUAAGCUAAAAA
Molecule: long non-coding RNA, 432 nt
Organism: Amphimedon queenslandica
Lineage: Eukaryota; Metazoa; Porifera; Demospongiae; Haplosclerida; Niphatidae
Exons: 5
Source: RefSeq, a predicted model, not a curated record